Molecule: ribosomal RNA, 404 nt
Filed under: uncultured bacterium
Lineage: Bacteria
Description: partial 16S ribosomal RNA
Rfam family: Bacterial small subunit ribosomal RNA
Source: RNAcentral
GACGAACGCUGGCGGCGUGCUUAACACAUGCAAGUCGAGCGGCGCGGCGAACGGGUGAGUAACGCGUGAGUAACUGCCCCCCUCUCUGGGAUGACAGUUGGAAACGGCUGCUAAUACCGGAUCGUGGGGGAUGACUCGCGUCCUAUCAGCUUGUGGGUGGGGUAGUGGCCUACCAAGGCGACGACGGGUAGCCGGCCUGAGAGGGCGACCGGCCACAGUGGGCUGAGAGACGGCCCAAACUCCAACGGGAGGCAGCAGGGGGGAAUAUUGCACAAGGGGGGAAACCCUGAGGCAGCAACGCGGGUUCGGGAUGACGGCCUUCGGGUUGUAAACCGCUUUCGGCCAUGACGCGGUAGUGGCAGAAGAAGCACCGGCUAACUACGUGCCAGCCGCCGCGGUAAUUC